This 253-nucleotide ribosomal RNA is filed under the name uncultured bacterium. RNAcentral's name for it is "partial 16S ribosomal RNA". It matches the Rfam family "Bacterial small subunit ribosomal RNA", at positions 524 to 776 of the family's 1533-position model. The record is from RNAcentral.
UACAGAGGUCUCAAGCGUUGUUCGGAUUCAUUGGGCGUAAAGGGUGCGUAGGCGGCGCGGUAAGUCGGGUGUGAAAUCUUGGAGCUUAACUCCGAAACUGCAUUCGAUACUGCCGUGCUUGAGGACUGGAGAGGAGACUGGAAUUUACGGUGUAGCGGUGAAAUGCGUAGAUAUCGUAAGGAAGACCAGUGGCGAAGGCGGGUCUCUGGGCAGUUCCUGACGCUGAGACGCGAAAGCGUGGGGAGCAAACAGG